UGGGGAAUAUUGCACAAUGGGCGCAAGCCUGAUGCAGCCAUGCCGCGUGUAUGAAGAAGGCCUUCGGGUUGUAAAGUACUUUCAGUCGGGAGGAAGGUGGUAAGGUUAAUAACCUUAUCCAUUGACGUUACCGACAGAAGAAGCACCGGCUAACUCCGUGCCAGCAGCCGCGGUAAUACGGAGGGUGCAAGCGUUAAUCGGAAUUACUGGGCGUAAAGCGCACGCAGGCGGUUGAUUGAGUCAGAAGUGAAAUCACCGGGCUUAACCCGGGAAUUGCAUCUGAUACUGGUCAGCUAGAGUGGUGUAGAGGGGGGUAGAAUUCCAUGUGUAGCGGGGAAAUGCGUAGAGAUGUGGAGGAAUACCGGUGGCGAAGGCGGCCCCCUGGACAAAGACUGACGCUCAGGUGCGAAAGCGUGGGGAGCAAACAGG
This 429-nucleotide ribosomal RNA is filed under the name Chloroflexota bacterium. RNAcentral describes it as "Chloroflexi bacterium partial 16S ribosomal RNA". It matches the Rfam family "Bacterial small subunit ribosomal RNA", at positions 355 to 776 of the family's 1533-position model. Lineage: Bacteria; Bacillati; Chloroflexota. The record is from RNAcentral.